Molecule: ribosomal RNA, 253 nt
Filed under: uncultured bacterium
Lineage: Bacteria
Description: partial 16S ribosomal RNA
Rfam family: Bacterial small subunit ribosomal RNA
Source: RNAcentral
UACAGAGGGUGCAAGCGUUAAUCGGAGUUACUGGGCGUAAAGGGCGCGUAGGCGGUUAAGUGAGUGUGAUGUGAAAGCCCUGGGCUUAACCUAGGAAGUGCAUCGCAAACGACUUAACUGGAGUAUAUGAGAGGGUGGUGGAAUUUCCGGUGUAGCGGUGAAAUGCGUAGAGAUCGGAAGGAACACCAGUGGCGAAAGCGGCUUCCUGGUCCGACACCGACGUUCAGGCACGAAAGCGUGGGGAGCAAACAGG